CCUACGGGAGGCUGCAGUGAGGAAUAUUGGUCAAUGGACGAGAGUCUGAACCAGCCAAGUAGCGUGAAGGAUGACUGCCCUAUGGGUUGUAAACUUCUUUUAUAUGGGAAUAAAGUGUUCCACGUGUGGGAUUUUGUAUGUAACUUAUGAAUAAGGACUGGCUAACUCCGUGCCAGCAGCCGCGGUAAUACGGAAGAUCCGAGCGUUAUCCGGAUUUAUUGGGUUUAAAGGGAGCGUAGGUGGAUUGUUAAGUCAGUUGUGAAAUUUUGCGGCUAAACCGGAAAAUUGCAGUUGAAACUGGCAGUCUUGAGUACAGUAGAGGUGGGCGGAAUUCGUGGUGUAGCGGUGAAAUGCUUAGAUAUCACGAAGAACUCCGAUUGCGAAGGCAGCUCACUGGACUGCAACUGACACUGAUGCUCGAAAGUGUGGGUAUCAAACAGGAUUAGAUACCCCUGUAGUC
This 460-nucleotide ribosomal RNA is filed under the name uncultured bacterium. RNAcentral's name for it is "partial 16S ribosomal RNA". It matches the Rfam family "Bacterial small subunit ribosomal RNA", at positions 338 to 795 of the family's 1533-position model. The record is from RNAcentral.